GCAGUGUCCCUGUCAUCGCUUGCUAUGUGACUGACAGGCGUCUGUCCUAUCAAUAGACCACUAGAAGAUACAUUUAGUUCUUCUAGCGGGAUAAGGCUAUACACACAUUUCUGACUAGCAAAUGUAAUAUUUUUUAAAUGAAAAUAAGCCUAGUUAAUGAAUGAAGUGGAAAAAGUAACUGGCUAACAAUGAGGCUGUUCUCGGCUGUUUAUUUAACACUGUAUUGUCUUCCCCUAGUUUGAAGACUGAAAUGAGAGAAAAGUAGGUCGAGUCUGUAGGGAGAGCAGGCCUUUCAGAGAGUAAGGUCGGUCGAGUCUGUGGGGAGAGCAGGCCUUUCAGAGAGUAAGGUCGGUCGAGUCUGUGGGGAGAGCAGGCCUUUCAGAGAGUAAGGUAGGUCGAGUCUGUGGGGAGAGCAGGCCUUUCAGAGAGUAAGGUCGGUCGAGUCUGUGGGGAGAGCAGGCCUUUCAGAGAGUAAGGUUGGUCGAGUCUAUGGGGAGAGCAGGCCUUUCAGAGAGUAAGGUCGGUCGAGUCUAUGGGGAGAGCAGGCCUUUCAGAGAGUAAGGUCGGUCGAGUCUAUGGGGAGAGCAGGCCUUUCAGAGAGUAAGGUCGGUCGAGUCUGUGUGGAGAGCAGGCCAUUCAGAGAGUAAGGUUGGUCGAGUCUGUUUGGAGAGCAGGCCUUUCAGAGAGUAAGGUAGAUCGAGUCCAUGGGGAGAGCAGGCCUUUCAGAGAGAGAGUGAAGAAGAUGAAGAUGACGGGAGUAGAGUGAUGAAGGGUACCGAGUCACAGCAAACCAAUGCCUGGGAACACAAACACACACACACCUCACUCACCCAGGUUGUGCUCGGUGAACAACGGCAGAUUGACGCUCGAGUUGAAGCUCCCUGGAGUAGAAAAGAUGCAAUAACCACAUCCACUUUAAUACAAUAGGUUAGCAAGCUUGAAAUAAACAAAUAUCACACUUGUAUUCAUUUGAAAUGGAGAGCAGAGAAGAAAGAAAGGGUGGUGACUAAUACAGUAGGUCCUGUACUGUGACUAAUACAGUAGGUCCUGUACUGUGACUAAUACAGUAGGUCCUGUACUGUGACUAAUACAGUAGGUCCUGUACUGUGUGAUGUGACUAAUACAGUAGGUCCUGUACUGUGUGAUGUGACUAAUACAGUAGGUCCUGUACUGUGUUAUGUGACUAAUACAGUAGGUCCUGUACUGUGACUAAUACAGUAGGUCCUGUACUGUGACUAAUACAGUAGGUCCUGUACUGUGUAAUGUGACUAAUACAGUAUGUCCUGUACUGUGUACUGUGACUAAUACAUUAGGUCCUGUACUGUGACUAAUACAGUAGGUCAUGUGCUGUGUGCUGUGACUAAUACAGUAGGUCCUGUACUGUGUACUGUGACUAAUACAGUAGGUCCUGUACUGUGACUAAUACAGUAGGUCCUGUACUGUGACUAAUACAGUAGGUCCUGUACUGUGUAAUGUGACUAAUACAGUAGGUCCUGUACUGUGUGAUGUGACUAAUACAGUAGGUCCUGUACUGUGUAAUGUGACUAAUACAGUAGGUCCUGUACUGUGACUAAUACAGUAGGUUCUGUACUGUGUGAUGUGACUGUAGAGAUUUUGUGACCAUAGUACAGUAGGUCCUAGUGGUAGGAAUGUAUGACUCACUCUUCCUGGGGUACUCAGGUAGAGGAUCCACCUGGUAGGCACUACGGAGGAAGCUGGGCUUGGGUCUCUCCUUUUCCUCAGCAGCCUUUACCCUGACCUCCCCCUCCCUCUCGGGGACUGGAGCAUGAAGGAGCACCUCCUGGUCUGAUUCUCCCAGAUACCCUUUACUCCCAUCCACCACUUGCCUCUCCUGGGUUUCCGCGUCUCUCUUGUUCCCCUCCUCUUCAGGCUCCUGGUCCAAAUCCUCCAUCCUCUCCUCCUCUUCCUCUUCUUCCCGGUGUCCGGCGGUGUUGCUACUCCCGUCACUACCAGUCCCAGACGUGUGCGCCACGCUCUCCUCGUCCGAGAUGAUGUCAUCAAAGAACUGGUCUUCAUCGAGGACGUCAGAGGGAGUGGGAGGGAUCAGGUUGAUGACAGGUGGGGUGAGGAGGCUACCUGUACCUGAGCCUCCAGGUGUGUCAAACAGAAUUGAGUCCUCCUCCUCCGCUACCUCCACCUCCUUCUCCUGCUCCUCCAUUGCCUCAUCCUGCUCCCCUUCGCCUGUUAUGUUUCUCCUCUGGUUUGCCCCAGGCUCCUCCUCGCUGGCUGGGCUUCUCCUCUUUGUCUGCUUUCCACCCGGCUGGUCUCCUCCCGGCUGGUCUCCUCCCAGCUGGAGAGGAAGGGAGGACAGAGGCUUCAGCAUUCUUUUCUUCUUCAGUGCCCUGCGGACGGCCGACACAGAGUUGGAAGAUGGACUAAAAGUACUGAACAUCUGGACUGGUGCAACCUCCUCUUUGGUCAGGGUGAAGCUAGGGUUGGCCAGCCCAAGAUCCUCCACCGUGAUGUGGAUAGCACUGGCCUCUCCCUCCCCUGAGAUCCCCUGGUCGUCCCCAAGACAAGUCCACUCUAGCUGUGUGUCCCUCUCCCCGCUCUGCCCUCUCUGGCUCUGGCCUGGUAUUAGUUCUUUGUCCUCUCCUCCCACACAGGAGCAGCAGCAGCACAGCAGCCUGCAGGAGAGACCGUGUAUGUUCUUCCUCCACAGACACAGACGAUGCAUUCGAGGACCAUGCAACCUCUCUGCCUCCAUCUCUGCAGCCAUGUCUUCCCAAUCCCAGAAAAUAAUGGAUAAAUCCAGCACACUGGUGAUCUUGAUGUUUCUGAAAAUGCUGUUGGUUUUAUUUUACCAGCAUUUCCCAACCGUGUCUGUCAUGCGUUCCCUGCCAAUUCAAUGCACAUCCUCGGGCAGUCUCAGACAAUCUCAGACCACAACGAUGCCAUUCUUCAGUUUCAUCUGAUAAGAUAACUUCUCUGACAUGUCAGAUGACUCUGCACAUCCUCGGGCAGUCUCAGACAAUCUCAGACCACAAGGAGGCAAUUCUUCAGUUUCAUCUGAUAAGACAAUUUCUCUGACACGUCAGAUCACUCUGCACUCCACUUACCUCAGACAGCCCCCCCCAAAAAAAAAAAAACAAGGAGGCUGGUAUAGUUGCUAAACUAGUGUCUUCCGAAAUCUGUCUUGUCAUGAGCUUGGCAAGCAAGACUAUUGGUAAACACGGUCUUGUUUUCUAUCUGAUAAGCCUUCGUCAAUAGUCUCACGGAAGGAUGAACAGCGAACAGCCACCCACACCUCUGCACUGUACUCCUGCUCUUACCCUUUGAUAGGUUCUGGAGGCUUCGCACGCCAUGCAAAUAUAUCUUUCUGCAGUCUGUGUUGCUUAGCAAAGCAGAGAGUACUAACUUAUUCAUGUCGCUGCUCUGGGUCGUCAGAGGAACACUUCAAAUGAACAUCAGUUUUAAUUAAAAAAAAAGGCCUUUCG
RNAcentral lists this long non-coding RNA (3458 nucleotides) under Salmo salar (Atlantic salmon). Its description in RNAcentral is "lncRNA (ENSSSAG00000095292.1)". The record is from RNAcentral. Lineage: Eukaryota; Metazoa; Chordata; Actinopteri; Salmoniformes; Salmonidae.